UGGAUCCAGACUUUGAUCAGGCUCAGGAUAAACGCUGGCGGCGCACAUAAGACAUGCAAGUCGAACGGACUUAACCAUUAGUUUACUAUUGGAGCGGUUAGUGGCGGACUGGUGAGUAACACGUAAGUAACCUGCCUAUCAGAGGGGAACAACAGUUAGAAAUGACUGCUAAUACCGCAUAUGCCUUGAGUAUCACAUGAUACAAAAGGGAAAGGAGCAAUCCGCUGAUAGACGGGCUUGCGUCUGAUUAGAUAGUUGGUGGGGUAACGGCCUACCAAGUCGACGAUCAGUAGCCGGACUGAGAGGUUGAACGGCCACAUUGGGACUGAGAUACGGCCCAGACUCCUACGGGAGGCAGCAGUCGGGAAUAUUGCGCAAUGGAGGAAACUCUGACGCAGUGACGCCGCGUGCAGGAAGAAGGUUUUCGGAUCGUAAACUGCUUUAGACAGGGAAGAAUAAAGACAGUACCUGUAGAAUAAGCUCCGGCUAACUACGUGCCAGCAGCCGCGGUAAUACGUAGGGAGCAAGCGUUAUCCGGAUUUAUUGGGUGUAAAGGGUGCGUAGACGGGAAAACAAGUUAGUUGUGAAAUCCCUCGGCUUAACUGAGGAACUGCAACUAAAACUAUUUUUCUUGAGUGUUGGAGAGGAAAGUGGAAUUCCUAGUGUAGCGGUGAAAUGCGUAGAUAUUAGGAGGAACACCGGUGGCGAAGGCGACUUUCUGGACAAUAACUGACGUUGAGGCACGAAAGUGUGGGGAGCAAACAGGAUUAGAUACCCUGGUAGUCCACACCGUAAACGAUGGAUACUAGGUGUAGGGUGUGAUAAACAUUCUGUGCCGUCGCAAACGCAGUAAGUAUCCCACCUGGGGAGUACGGCCGCAAGGUUGCAACUCAAAUGAAUUGACGGA
Molecule: ribosomal RNA, 907 nt
Filed under: uncultured Bacillota bacterium
Lineage: Bacteria; Bacillati; Bacillota
Description: bacterial SSU rRNA
Rfam family: Bacterial small subunit ribosomal RNA
Source: RNAcentral